UGGAAACGACCGCUAAUCCCCCAUAUGCCUAUUGGUGAAAUGAAUUUCGCCUGAGGAUGAGCUCGCGUCUGAUUAGCUAGUUGGUGAGGUAAUGGCUCACCAAGGCUUCAAUCAGUAGCUGGUCUGAGAGGAUGA
RNAcentral lists this ribosomal RNA (135 nucleotides) under uncultured Prochlorococcus sp. Its description in RNAcentral is "partial 16S ribosomal RNA". It matches the Rfam family "Bacterial small subunit ribosomal RNA", at positions 151 to 303 of the family's 1533-position model. The record is from RNAcentral. Lineage: Bacteria; Bacillati; Cyanobacteriota; Cyanophyceae; Synechococcales; Prochlorococcaceae.